UACAGAGGGUGCAAGCGUUGUUCGGAAUCAUUGGGCGUAAAGGGCGCGUAGGCGGUUCCGCAAGUCGAAUGUGAAAGCCCAGGGCUCAACCUUGGAAGUGCAUCCGAAACUGCGGAACUCGAAUCUCGGAGAGGGUGGUGGAAUUCCCAGUGUAGAGGUGAAAUUCGUAGAUAUUGGGAGGAACACCGGUGGCGAAGGCGACCACCUGGACGAAGAUUGACGCUGAGGCGCGAAAGCGUGGGGAGCAAACAGG
Molecule: ribosomal RNA, 253 nt
Filed under: uncultured prokaryote
Description: partial 16S ribosomal RNA
Rfam family: Bacterial small subunit ribosomal RNA
Source: RNAcentral